RNAcentral lists this long non-coding RNA (1179 nucleotides) under Pongo abelii (Sumatran orangutan). RNAcentral's name for it is "lincRNA". The record is from RNAcentral. Lineage: Eukaryota; Metazoa; Chordata; Mammalia; Primates; Hominidae.
UCUGGCAAGGUCGGAAUGAUUUUGCGAUGAGCACCGCCUGGAUUCUGCGGUGAAGGCGACUGUGCGCGGUCACGGCCUCACCUGUCCGUGCAUCUGCCCAUCUUGUCAGGCAGAUCAACAUCAACCUGUAAAACGGAUGACUUAGGCCGGGCGUGAUGGCACCCACCUGUAAUCCCAGCUACUCAGGAGGCUGAGGCAGGAAAAUUGCUUGAACCUGGGAGGCGAAGGUUGCAGUGAGCCGCGAUUGUGCCACUGCACUCCAGCCUGGGCGACAGAGCGAGACUCCGUCUCAAAAUAAAUAAAUAAAACAUAUGACUUAGGUAUACACGCAUGGGGGUAUCCUCGUAAAGCAAGAACGUGCUGCACAUUCUGGGGACUGGGACAGGAGAAGCACACGAGUAGAUCUAAGUCACUGGAAAUGCCUGGUUUGCUGUUGGAGGUGGGUUUGCAGGUGCUCGUUAUAUUAUUACACUGUUGUAGUAAAACGAUGUUAGUUACAGUAUUAAAUUGCAAAUGUCAGUAUCCAUCACCGCCAAAACAGCGUGCAUACCACUAGCAUAUAAUUUUUGUAGUUUUUUAAUGUUAAGUUUGUAAUGAAGUGCACAAGCUUAAUUAUACAUUGGCUGAGGUUCUUUGUUUUAAAGACAGUCUUGCUCUAUGGCCCAGGCUGGAGUGCAGUGCGUGAUCAUGGCUCACCGUAACCUCAAAUUCCUGGCCUCAAGCGAUCCUCCUGCCUCACCCUCCUGAAAGGACUGGGAUUACAGGCGUGAGCCACCAUGCCCAGCCUCCUUUUGCUGAGUUUUAACAAAUACAGUUGUGUAACCGAAGAUGCCAUCAAGACAAAUAGAACACGUCCCUCACCCCAGAAAAUUCCCUUAUGCCCCUUUCCACUGCUACCAUGCCACCUGUUCUGAUUUCCUCACUAUGGUUCCGCCUGUUCUAAGAGUUCACACAAAUGGAUGAUUGGGUACAUGUCGUUGUGUGAGGCGUCUUUCCCUUAGCGUCAUGUUUCUGGAGAUUCUUCUGUGUUGUUUAACGUCUCAGGAGUUUGUUCUUUUGAUUGCCAAGCAGUCCAGUGUAAACACACCGGUGUGUUUAUCUGCUGUAUUCAUGGACACUUGGAGCUGUCUCUAGCUAUUGGCUAUCAUGAAUAAAGUUGCUGUUGACUUUCUUUUUAAA